RNAcentral lists this ribosomal RNA (301 nucleotides) under uncultured bacterium. RNAcentral's name for it is "partial 16S ribosomal RNA". It matches the Rfam family "Bacterial small subunit ribosomal RNA", at positions 509 to 807 of the family's 1533-position model. The record is from RNAcentral.
CAGCAGCCGCGGGAAAACGGAGGGGGCUAGCGUGGUUCGGAAUUACUGGGCGCAAAGCGCACGUAGGCGGCUUGGUAAGUUAGAGGUGAAAGCCCGGAGCUCAACUCCGGAAUUGCCUUUAAGACUGCCGAGCUAGUAGGUGAGAGAGGUAAGUGGAAUUCCGAGUGUAGAGGUGAAAUUCGUAGAUAUUCGGAAGAACACCAGUGGCGAAGGCGGCUUACUGGCUCAUACUGGACGCUGAGGUGCGAAAGCGUGGGGAGCAAACAGGAUUAGAUACCCGAGUAGUCCCUGUCUCUUAUAC